GGUGUGUGUUAGUGCUCGUGAGACGACAUAUACGCAUUCUUAUAUAUGUAGAGACACACAAGGAUAUAUGGACUGUUGUAUAAAUCUAUCUUCAAACGCUGGAGAUGUACUACGAUGUCAGCUGUUCACUACCAGUGAACUAAGGUUGUACAAUAUUGCUGUUCCAUAUGGAAAACAAUUAAAUUUUGGAAAAAUUAAAAGAAAAGAUUUUUAAAGGAUAUUUGCAUAGUGUU
This is a long non-coding RNA of Octopus bimaculoides (California two-spot octopus), 233 nucleotides long. RefSeq lists it as uncharacterized. Lineage: Eukaryota; Metazoa; Mollusca; Cephalopoda; Octopoda; Octopodidae. The record is from RefSeq and is a predicted model, not a curated record.